GGCAACAGCUCAAAUUUGAAAUCUGGCUCUUUUAGAGUCCGAGUUGUAAUUUGCAGAGGGCGCUUUGGCUUUGGCAGCGGUCCAAGUUCCUUGGAACAGGACGUCACAGAGGGUGAGAAUCCCGUACGUGGUCGCUGGCUAUUGCCGUGUAAAGCCCCUUCGACGAGUCGAGUUGUUUGGGAAUGCAGCUCUAAAUGGGAGGUACAUUUCUUCUAAAGCUAAAUAUUGGCCAGAGACCGAUAGCGCACAAGUAGAGUGAUCGAAAGAUGAAAAGCACUUUGGAAAGAGAGUCAAACAGCACGUGAAAUUGUUGAAAGGGAAGCGCUUGCAGCCAGACUUGCUUACAGUUGCUCAUCCGGGUUUCUACCCGGUGCACUCUUCUGUAGGCAGGCCAGCAUCAGUUUGGGCGGUAGGAUAAAGGUCUCUGUCACGUACCUCCUUUCGGGGAGGCCUUAUAGGGGAGACGACAUACUACCAGCCUGGACUGAGGUCCGCGCAUCUGCUAGGAUGCUGGCGUAAUGGCUGUAAGCGGCCCGUCUUGAAACACGGACCAAGGAGUCUAACAUCUAUGCGAGUGUUUGGGUGUCAAGCCCGAGCGCGUAAUGAAAGUGAACGGAGGUGGGAACCCGCAAGGGUGCACCAUCGACCGAUCCUGAUGUCUUCGGAAGGAUUUGAGUAAGAGCAUGGCUGUUGGGACCCGAAAGAUGGUGAACUAUGCUUGAAUAGGGUGAAGCCAGAGGAAACUCUGGUGGAGGCUCGCA
This 761-nucleotide ribosomal RNA is filed under the name Alternaria sp. RNAcentral describes it as "partial large subunit ribosomal RNA". It matches the Rfam family "Eukaryotic large subunit ribosomal RNA", at positions 100 to 879 of the family's 3401-position model. Lineage: Eukaryota; Fungi; Ascomycota; Dothideomycetes; Pleosporales; Pleosporaceae. The record is from RNAcentral.